Molecule: long non-coding RNA, 921 nt
Organism: Poecilia latipinna (sailfin molly)
Lineage: Eukaryota; Metazoa; Chordata; Actinopteri; Cyprinodontiformes; Poeciliidae
Exons: 3
Source: RefSeq, a predicted model, not a curated record
UUUCUAAUUCACAUUCAACAGAACUUUACUCGCCUUUUAUCUGGUUUUAGCGUGUAAAACAGACACUUUGACCAGUUCAACACAGGAAAUGCCGUUUCCUCUUCUGGGAGAAUCCAGCAGCUUUUCGGGACAGAAAAUCCACCCGAUGUUUUGGGACUCUCUGAAGUCUGAGGUUUACGUUUGGUUCUCAUGGAGGCUGGAUCCUGUCCUGCUUCUGGAAGAAACCGACCGGAAAGGAUUUAGGAGCUCCAAAGCUGCAGCUGUGCUGAUGCAGCGAAACGACGAUCAUCCCGCAGCUUCCAGGGAGAAAAAGAACUGAAAGUGGCAGCGCUCCAGAUGUCCCUACAGGAAGCCACUGGGUUUGGUGCCGUUGGUUUUGGAUCGCGCUCUGCAGCGUCUCUAGAGCCAGCAGGAGCCGUUUAGCUCUGGGCUGCAUGGAGGACGCGGGCCGUCGGCGCGGAGCGAUCCGAGCUGCUGGAGAAGUUCAGCUGCCAGGAGCCAGGAAGUGGAAAGAGAGCUCCCUCCCCAGAAAGCUCAACCACAGUGGUUUCCACUGCUUUUUAAUCACUCCAGUACCAUCCGUUCUGCCCGCUGGGUUGGGUUAGAUGAUACAAACAGCCGCAGCAAAACGGAUCUGCUGUCUGGAGAUUUCCUGAAGGGUCACUGAGGUUUUCUGAAGCUGCAAACAGCUGACAGAUUGAUGGGGAGUCCUGCAGGGUCCUGUCGUCGGCUGGUGUACUUCAUCAUCAGACCACACAGAUACCAAGAGAUUAAUUUGUUAUUAUGUGGGGAUUGUGUUGCUUUUAUCAGCCCUUUAUCACUCCAGCACAGCUGCCUUUAUGUGGCAGGAUUAUUUCUCUCUGUUAUAAAUUAAACACCUUUCAGAAAGUUGAACCAACAGCAGAACUGAGCUGACAGACA